AAUUUCUAACGGAGUGAUAACUC
Molecule: small nuclear RNA, 23 nt
Filed under: Arabidopsis thaliana (thale cress)
Lineage: Eukaryota; Viridiplantae; Streptophyta; Magnoliopsida; Brassicales; Brassicaceae
Description: snRNA_04571
Source: RNAcentral